CACAGAUAACACAUAAUCCAGAUGGCUCCUUACGUGUUAAAAAUUGUCACCCCAAUUUCACUCCAAUUUGGAAAAAUAUUGGAGUGACGUUUGAAUAAUCUGAAAUUUUUAGAUUCCUUUUCUAACUUUUUUGGGAGGUUUUGCUUCUCUUGCACAGAUGUCGCUUGCACUUCAGUUGCGUGGUUGCCAAACGUUAUAUCGAAAUAUAUUUCAUUUCAUUAUGAAUAUAUAAAAUUAAAAAUUAUGUAAUUUAUAAACAUGAAAUAGAUAUGGAUGUUAGGUAAUACCGGAUGUUAAAUUAAUAUAUAAAUAUUUAACUUAAUACGUACAUUAUUAUUUUAUUAAUUUAUCGUCACACGUCAUUUACCAGUUGCCUAAUUACGAAAAGUUUCAUAUGAUAUUAACCUCAAAAAUGAUCUUUGAAAACAAACAACAACAAAUAACUCAAAGAAAUAACUACAUACUACAUAAUAAUAACUGAUAAUAAUGACUUUUAAUGGUAUAAAGGCUGAUGAAGUUUUAGACAACCAAUACAAGAUUCAGAACUCGGCAUCGCGAUAAACAAGUAAAAUUGUACAUUCAGGAACUCGUUUAAAUAUUAUAGGUUGAUUGAAGAAUAAUCUACAAUUGAUUAGAGCCUAUGACGAUGCGAAGAUAAUUAAUCACCUAACUUUAAGAAACCAGCCUAAAGAAGUUUACAUGCAUCUCAUCUAACCAUUAUAGAUCAGUAGUGAUUUUUCAUAAUUUGAAUGAACUCACAGAUAGCAAUGGGGCACCGCACCGAAGCAGUAUUACAAAAUGUGAAAUAAAACUGUAGUACAUAUUGCUCUAUAAAAUUUAAUAGAAAUAAAUUUAUUUAUGAAAAUUAAUGAAGUUUUAUCUUUCCUAGGAAAAAAAUAACAAUUAUAUUUUGAACAAUUAAUUUAGAACAUUAGAGUUAAAAAAAUAUAUGUGUUAGAAAUUGUAACACAUAUUUUUUUAACUCUAUGUUAUUCUAACUUAGAAUAACAUAUUUUUAAUAAAAUUGCGCUUAUACUUUAUACUUUUUUGCUAUUAUAUCAAUAAGAACUAACGUAAGGAGCAAUUCAUUUAUACUAUAAACACACAUGCAUAUUUUUUGAUCUUUUUAAAACCAGUGAAUAAUGUUGAAAUAUGCUACACCUAUUAAUUCUUAUUAACUAACUUUAUAGCUAGACAGUUGAAAAUUUUACAGAUAAUGUAUCUAUGUUGCCGCUAUAAGAACAAAUACUAAAAACAGAAUUAAAUAAAUGUUUAUAAAUAAAAAAGUACUUUCACUAAACAUUAUCGUUUAAGUAAGAAUUUUACACAGAAUAUUCAAGUCCUCGAGUGGCCGUGUGGUUAAAGGCGUUAGGAUUUGAAGGCGUUGAGACGUAGUGAGGCAGGUUCGAAUCGUAGGCAAGGUGACUUUUUCUUAAUCUUUUUUUUUAUUUUUACAUAUUUUUACAUAUUUAUUUUUACUUAUUUAUUAUUGAUUAAUACAAUUUUUAGCAAUGUAUUUCUUCAUUUUUUUUAAAUUACUUACAAGCGCAUUCAAAAUUUCAGCUAAAUCGGAAAAAAGUUUACAAUAAUAUAAUGUCUGAUGUUGUAUAGAUAAUGUGUGAAUGGUACAUUCAAUGAUAAUGAACCCUUCGUGCGCGAGUCCGACUCGCACUUGGCCAAUUUUUUUUGUUAAUUGAAACGUUUAGAAUUUGAAUAUUCGUUCAAAAAUUUUUUUUUUAAUAAAUUUAUUUAUGAUAAACAAUUUAUUAAUGAAAAUAAUAUGACCGAAUUUCCUGGAAAGUUUUUCAAAUUUGUACAUAUGAAAACCUAGCUUUACCACUUAUCAUAGAAAAUCUCUAUUCCUUCCCUUAUCACGGAAUAAUAAAGGAACGAACCAUAUGCGACAAAGAUAGAAGAUUUAGAUAUGUCGUUACUGUCUUUUGUUUUUAACGGAUAUUUUAAAAGGCGGGUAAUUUACCUUUGACUGUCUUUGAUUAUAACUGUGUGUGAUUAGUGAUAAUAAAAUUAUUAUUAAAAUGUCUGGUAAUAAGUGCCAAUUUUAUAAUUGUGGGAUUUCUCGGAAAUCAGGUGUACAUAUGUUUAAGUUUCCUGCGUCAAGAGAUCCUAAUUUAUGUACAAAGUGGAUAGAAAAUUGUGGUGAGUUCAUUCAUAUAGAAUUUUUUUGCACAUUUUGUAUGUAAAAAUACGGCGUUAAGUUACCUUAGAAAUGGUGAUCGAUGGCUUUUACCAUAUACCGU
Molecule: long non-coding RNA, 2258 nt
Filed under: Sitophilus oryzae (rice weevil)
Lineage: Eukaryota; Metazoa; Arthropoda; Insecta; Coleoptera; Curculionidae
Description: uncharacterized LOC115877419, transcript variant X1
Source: RNAcentral